RNAcentral lists this ribosomal RNA (480 nucleotides) under uncultured bacterium. RNAcentral's name for it is "partial 16S ribosomal RNA". It matches the Rfam family "Bacterial small subunit ribosomal RNA", at positions 356 to 824 of the family's 1533-position model. The record is from RNAcentral.
UGGGAAUUUUGGACAAUGGGCGAAAGCCUGAUCCAGCAAUGCCGCGUGUGUGAAGAAGGCCUUCGGGUUGUAAAGCACUUUUUGUCCGGAAAGAAAUCCUUGGCUCUAAUACAGUCGGGGGAUGACGGUACCGGAAGAAUAAGCACCGGCUAACUACGUGCCAGCAGCCGCGGUAAUACGUAGGGUGCAAGCGUUAAUCGGAAUUACUGGGCGUAAAGCGUGCGCAGGCGGUUUGCUAAGACCGAUGUGAAAUCCCCGGGCUCAACCUGGGAACUGCAUUUGGUGACUGGCAGGCUAGAGUAUGGCAGAGGGGGGUUAGAAUUCCACGUGUAGCAGUGAAAUGCGUAGAGAUGUGGAGGAAUACCGAUGGCGAAGGCAGCCCCCUGGGCCAAUACUGACGCUCAUGCACGAAAGCGUGGGGAGCAAAACAGGAUUAGAUACCCUGGUAGUCCACGCCCUAAACGAUGUCAACUAGUUGUU